This 490-nucleotide ribosomal RNA is filed under the name uncultured bacterium. RNAcentral's name for it is "partial 16S ribosomal RNA". It matches the Rfam family "Bacterial small subunit ribosomal RNA", at positions 29 to 505 of the family's 1533-position model. The record is from RNAcentral.
AGUGAACGCUGGCGGUAGGCCUAACACAUGCAAGUCGAACGGCAGCACAGUAAGAGCUUGCUCUUACGGGUGGCGAGUGGCGGACGGGUGAGGAAUACAUCGGAAUCUACUUUUUCGUGGGGGAUAACGUAGGGAAACUUACGCUAAUACCGCAUACGACCUACGGGUGAAAGCAGGGGAUCUUCGGACCUUGCGCGAUUGAAUGAGCCGAUGUCGGAUUAGCUAGUUGGCGGGGUAAAGGCCCACCAAGGCGACGAUCCGUAGCUGGUCUGAGAGGAUGAUCAGCCACACUGAAACUGAGACACGGUCCAGACUCCUACGGGAGACAGGAGGGGGGAAUAUUGGACAAUGGGCGCAAGCCUGAUCCAGCCAUACCGCGUGGGUGAAGAAGGCCUUCGGGUUGUAAAGCCCUUUUGUUGGAAAAAAAAAGCAGCAGGUUAAUACCCCGCUGUUCUGACGGUACCCAAAGAAUAAGCACCGGCGAACUGCG